GACGAACGCUGGCGGCGUGCCUAAUACAUGCAAGUAGAACGCUGAAGGAGGAGCUUGCUUCUCCGGAUGAGUUGCGAACGGGUGAGUAACGCGUAGGUAACCUGCCUGGUAGCGGGGGAUAACUAUUGGAAACGAUAGCUAAUACCGCAUAACAGUAGAUAUUGCAUGAUAUCUGCUUGAAAGGUGCAAUUGCAUCACUACCAGAUGGACCUGCGUUGUAUUAGCUAGUUGGUGAGGUAACGGCUCACCAAGGCAACGAUACAUAGCCGACCUGAGAGGGUGAUCGGCCACACUGGGACUGAGACACGGCCCAGACUCCUACGGGAGGCAGCAGUAGGGAAUCUUCGGCAAUGGACGGAAGUCUGACCGAGCAACGCCGCGUGAGUGAAGAAGGUUUUCGGAUCGUAAAGCUCUGUUGUAAGAGAAGAACGAGUGUGAGAGUGGAAAGUUCACAC
This 455-nucleotide ribosomal RNA is filed under the name Streptococcus sp. oral taxon 431. Its description in RNAcentral is "bacterial SSU rRNA". It matches the Rfam family "Bacterial small subunit ribosomal RNA", at positions 28 to 469 of the family's 1533-position model. The record is from RNAcentral. Lineage: Bacteria; Bacillati; Bacillota; Bacilli; Lactobacillales; Streptococcaceae.